CUCCCACCUUUCUUCAACAGUGCUUGUCUUGUUUUGCCUAGGCUUGCCCCGACGUGGUAGGAAGUCAAAAUGGAUGGCUUAUUGUUUUCAACGUUGUCCAGAUUUGGUUCAAUAUUUAUUAGUGAUUCGCCCAACAUGACUUCAAAGUGGAGAGGGACCCGGGAAGAGUUGCAGGGGAAAGAAGAGAAGAAUGUGCCUAUUUGAAAGCUAGAAAAAACAUAAACUUGCUGGGAGGGCUCAUAAGGACGACUGACUGAACCGAAUACAUUCGUCUCCACAUUUGACUCUCAGCUGCUCAACCA
Molecule: long non-coding RNA, 302 nt
Organism: Oncorhynchus tshawytscha (Chinook salmon)
Lineage: Eukaryota; Metazoa; Chordata; Actinopteri; Salmoniformes; Salmonidae
Source: Ensembl